RNAcentral lists this transfer RNA (76 nucleotides) under Nitrospirota bacterium. RNAcentral's name for it is "Nitrospirae bacterium (hot springs metagenome) tRNA-Gly". It matches the Rfam family "tRNA". Rfam says of the family: Transfer RNA (tRNA) molecules are approximately 80 nucleotides in length. The record is from RNAcentral. Lineage: Bacteria; Pseudomonadati; Nitrospirota. RNAcentral also lists the same sequence under 1 other name.
GCGGGAAUAGCUCAGUUGGUAGAGCACAACCUUGCCAAGGUUGGGGUCGCGGGUUCGAACCCCGUUUCCCGCUCCA